AUCCUGGCUUAGGACGAACGCUGGCGGCGUGCCAAUACAUGCAAGUCGAACGGCUUUUCUAUGGAAGCUUGCUCCCACUGAGAAGAUAGUGGCGAACGGGUGAGUAACACGUGGGUAACCUGCCCAUAAGAGGGGGAUAACAUCCGGAAACGGGUGCUAAUACCGCAUAGUUUUCUUGAUCGCAUGAUUGAGAAAGGAAAGACGGCCUUUGUGUUGUCGCUUAUGGAUGGACCCGCGGCGUAUUAGUUAGUUGGUGAGGUAACGGCUCACCAAGACGAUGAUACGUAGCCGACCUGAGAGGGUGAUCGGCCACAUUGGGACUGAGACACGGCCCAAACUCCUACGGGAGGCAGCAGUAGGGAAUCUUCCGCAAUGGACGAAAGUCUGACGGAGCAACGCCGCGUGAGUGAAGAAAAGGUUUUCGGAUCGUAAAACUCUGUUGUCAGAGAAGAACAAGUUGGAGAGUAACUGCUCCAGCCUUGACGGUAUCUGACCAGAAAGCCACGGCUAACUACGUGCCAGCCGCCGC
RNAcentral lists this ribosomal RNA (529 nucleotides) under uncultured bacterium. RNAcentral describes it as "bacterial SSU rRNA". It matches the Rfam family "Bacterial small subunit ribosomal RNA", at positions 16 to 518 of the family's 1533-position model. The record is from RNAcentral.